RNA transcript from Fragaria vesca subsp. vesca, 740 nucleotides. RefSeq lists it as uncharacterized. NCBI's taxonomy places the organism in Eukaryota, Viridiplantae, Streptophyta, Magnoliopsida, Rosales, Rosaceae. The transcript is spliced from 2 exons. The record is from RefSeq and is a predicted model, not a curated record.
ACUCCAAAAUCAAUCACUCCCUUACAUACCUUCACACAUAGACCCAAAUUUGCAAUCAACUAAGAAAUGGCAUUCUCAAAGAAUCUUCUUCUUGUUAGCCUUCUGUUUGCUGUUCUCUUCAUCUCUUCUGAGGUCGUCUCAGCUCAUCGUCACCUAGCUGAGACUACUACUAGUGGUGAAAAAUUCAAACACUGAUGUUAACGAUCAUGGACAUGGUGGCCACGGAGGGCAUGGAGGACACGGAGGACAUGGAGGUCGUGGUGGCCAUGGAGAAAAUUCAAACACUGAUGGUUUCCAUGGCAACGAUCAUGGACAUGGUGGCCACGGAAAUGGAGGACACGGAGGACGUGGUGGCCAUGGAGCCACUGCUCAUGAGACUGAAACCAAAAAUUAGAUAACUCUGUGGUGGCCAUGGAGCCACUGCAUGCAGCUGUGGGUGUGCCUGGUGGCAGAGAGAGUAUCAGACUAUCUGUUACUGUAGCUUGUUUUCUGUAUCAAUAAAUUUGUAUUGGUUGAGUAGUCGAUGAACUCUCAAUCAUAUACGAAGUCUCUUUUUCAAGGUUUAUCUCUGUAAUUCCUCGGAUUAUCGAUCUCCGUGUUAUGUACUAUCUAUAAUCAACUGCUUCAUGACUAAAAGUUGUUAAUCAACUCAUAUAUUAUACGUACGUACGCGCAUGAAAUAAGCUACGAUAUAUCCCUGUAUAUACGUCCAUGCAGCGUCCUCAAUAACAGAAAUAAGA